CUGGUACAAGCAGUCAGCAGCACACCACUGGACAGAUGUGGCACCGAAAAGGAACUCAGUCAUACACUGGGAGGUACCAGGGCUCACUCACUUGCAGGACCAAGAUCCAAACUUUGCAUCUUCUUUGACAGUCCUGAGGACCCCCCAGCGUCCCCAAGCAGAGUAGCUCCAAGGAACACUCAGAAGCAACUUGAGGCCUUCCCACGCCACUCCGGGGGCAGCAGAAAGCAUGUGGAGAGCCUCAUGCCCUUCCUGCGUCACUGCCACCGAACCAGCCUUCCUGCACUCGGGCUGUCACAGCAUGCCUGCACCCGAUAGAUGGAGAAUGCAAGCAGGAGCCACAUCUGCUAGUUGGUGGCUCUACCCUUGGCUCCUAUGACUGCCUGACGUCUGGCUGGCCCCAGGAAGUAUUUGCUGAGUGGAUGAUAAUGAGGCCUGCCUCCCCAAGGCCCCCCGGGUUCUACAGAGAAAUUCCCAGACCUGUCUUGGAGUCUGUAUUAGCCUGCCUGGGCUGCUAUAACAAAAUAUGAUAGAGGUGCCUGGGUGGCUCCAUCGGUUAAGCGUCUGCCUUCAGCUCGGGUCAUGAUCCUGGAGUCUAGGGAUCGAGUCCCGCAUCGGGCUCCCUGCUUGGCAGGGAGUUGGCUUCUCCCUCUGACCCUCCCCCCUCUCAUGCUCUCUCUCUCAUUCUCUCUCUCUCUCUCUAAUAAAUAAAUGAAAUCUUUAAAAAUAUAUAUAUAUGACAGAUUGCAUGGCUCAAACCAUAGAAAUUUCUUUUCCCACAGUUUUGGAGGCUAGGAAGCCCAAGAUCAAGGUUCAGCAAGCUGUUUCUGGGGAGGGGACUUCCCAGCGUGAAGACAGCCACCUUCUUGCUGUGUCCUCACAUGGCUUUUCCUGGGUUUGUGCACACAAGCUCUCCGGUGUCUCUUCUCAUGACACUCAUCUUACUGGAUUAGAGCCCUGCCCUGAUGAUCUCAUUUCACCUUAUUUUAUUUUGUUUUUAUUUAUUUUUUUAAUUUUUUCCCCCAUUUUUUACUUCUUUUCUCUUUCUCUUUUUCUUUCUUUCUUUCUUCUUCUCAUUUAACCUUAAGGACUUCCUUACUCCAAA
This is a long non-coding RNA of Mirounga angustirostris (Northern elephant seal), 1105 nucleotides long. RefSeq lists it as uncharacterized. Lineage: Eukaryota; Metazoa; Chordata; Mammalia; Carnivora; Phocidae. The transcript is spliced from 3 exons. The record is from RefSeq and is a predicted model, not a curated record.